AGUAUAUUAUGGAAUUUUCGAUACGCGAAAUUAAGAAAGUUACGGAAACAUCCGUUGUUUAGUAGAGUUGUUUAAUACAGCAGUGUCUUUUAUGUACACAAAACGAAACACGAAUUAUAAUAUAAUAAAAGGAACAAUAAUAUUUAUUUUUAUCCAGUAAUUUUAUUUUCUGACCGAGGUGCGUAGGUAUAAUAAUAUAUCAUUAUAAGUCAUUAACUCUAAAAGAAAAAUCGUAAUGGUGUAGUCGUGCUACUGGACAAUAAAAAAAUAAUAUUA
Molecule: non-coding RNA, 276 nt
Organism: Cinara cedri
Lineage: Eukaryota; Metazoa; Arthropoda; Insecta; Hemiptera; Aphididae
Source: the annotation of a GenBank genome assembly